CAGUCGCCGCGGUAAUAUGGAGGGUGCAAGCGUUAAUCGGAAUUACUGGGCGUAAAGCGCACGCAGGCGGUCUGUCAAGUCAGAUGUGAAAUCCCCGGGCUUAACCUGGGAACUGCAUUUGAAACUGGCAGGCUAGAGUCUUGUAGAGGGGGGUAGAAUUCCAGGUGUAGCGGUGAAAUGCGUAGAGAUCUGGAGGAAUACCGGUGGCGAAGGCGGCCCCCUGGACAAAGACUGACGCUCAGGUGCGAAAGCGUGGGGAGCAAACAGGAUUAGAUACCCCUGUAGUCCCUGUCUCUUAUAC
RNAcentral lists this ribosomal RNA (301 nucleotides) under uncultured bacterium. Its description in RNAcentral is "partial 16S ribosomal RNA". It matches the Rfam family "Bacterial small subunit ribosomal RNA", at positions 509 to 807 of the family's 1533-position model. The record is from RNAcentral.